ACAGAGACUGCAAGCGUUAUUCGGAUUCACUGGGCGUAAAGGGUGCGCAGGCGGCCGUGUGUGUGAAGUGUGAAAGCCCGGGGCUUAACCCCGGAAUUGCACCUCAAACUACAUGGCUAGAGCAUUGGAGAGGGUAGCGGAAUUCACGGUGUAGCAGUGAAAUGCGUAGAUAUCAGGAGGAACACUGGCGGCGAAGGCGGCUUCCUGGACCAAUACUGACGCUGAGACGCGAAAGCGUGGGGAGCAAACAGGA
RNAcentral lists this ribosomal RNA (253 nucleotides) under uncultured prokaryote. Its description in RNAcentral is "partial 16S ribosomal RNA". It matches the Rfam family "Bacterial small subunit ribosomal RNA", at positions 525 to 777 of the family's 1533-position model. The record is from RNAcentral.